AGGAUAACUUCCAGUUGUUUGCACCCAGGCGGAGCUGCUGGCACACGUGCCUUUCCACAUUCGUCCCCAGAAUCUGCAUGUUCCAACGAUCCGCUGGAAGAUCAGACCCUUUGUGUAUUUAAAUACGUUUUGAGGAAAGAGCCUUCCCUGGGGAAAGGCAGAAGGCGGCAGCGAUCCUGCGAGAGGUGGCUUAGAGACCCCGUACCUGCCGAUGGCCGGAGAAGCAUCCCACCCGAGCCGUAUGGGAGAGCGACCCGCCUGGCAUCAGUCUGGAGCGUCGUGCAGAGCACACCAGGAAAGCCCUAGACACCAGCCUUGACGCUGCAGCGAGACUUCAAAGCUCCCAGCUUGUGAGCGAGGCGCAGCAGGUUCUCCGCUCGGAGACCGCUUCGGCGUGGUCAGGAGGCUGAGCAUGACCGAGAGGGAGAGAAGCCUCCCUGCUCCGCCGGCUGGUUUCAGUGGCCGUAGGAGAAGCUGGGGCUGGAGAAGAGGUAGGGUUUUAAAAUAUUCUUGUUUUUUGGCUGAGCAGGAAGGGCUGUCCCAGGCUUGGCAGGAAUCCCUCUUGGCUAGCUCUACCAAAGGGAA
Molecule: non-coding RNA, 585 nt
Organism: Phalacrocorax carbo (great cormorant)
Lineage: Eukaryota; Metazoa; Chordata; Aves; Suliformes; Phalacrocoracidae
Source: RefSeq, a predicted model, not a curated record